Molecule: ribosomal RNA, 38 nt
Filed under: Sinocyclocheilus rhinocerous
Lineage: Eukaryota; Metazoa; Chordata; Actinopteri; Cypriniformes; Cyprinidae
Source: RNAcentral
UGGUUAGUACUUGGAUGGGAGACCGCCUGGGAAUACAA